RNAcentral lists this ribosomal RNA (440 nucleotides) under uncultured bacterium. RNAcentral's name for it is "partial 16S ribosomal RNA". It matches the Rfam family "Bacterial small subunit ribosomal RNA", at positions 338 to 795 of the family's 1533-position model. The record is from RNAcentral.
CCUACGGGAGGCAGCAGUAGGGAAUAUUGCACAAUGGGGGAAACCCUGAAGCAGCGACGCCGCGUGGGGGAAGAAGGAAUUCGGAAUGUAAAGCUCUAUCGGUAGGGAAGAAAAUGACGGUACCUAAGGAAGAAGCCCCGGCUAACUACGUGCCAGCAGCCGCGGUAAUACGGAGGGGGCAAGCGUUAUCCGGAAUUACUGGGCGUAAAGGGAGCGUAGGCGGGAGUGCAAGUCAGAUGUGAAAGCCGGGGGCUUAACCCCCGGACUGCAUUGGAAACUGUACGGCUGGAGUGUGGGAGAGGUAAGUGGAAUUCCUAGUGUAGCGGUGAAAUGCGUAGAGAUUAGGAGGAACACCAGUGGCGAAGGCGGCCUACUGGAACGUAACUGACGUUGAGGCUCGAAAGCGUGGGGAGCAAACAGGAUUAGAUACCCGUGUAGUC